UUGCUCUCUUCAGCAGCACCGGCACUAAAAUUAGAAUGAUACAGAGAAGAUCAGCAUGACCCUUGUGCGAGGAUGACAAAUUCAUGAAACAGUCCACAUUUUG
RNAcentral lists this small nuclear RNA (103 nucleotides) under Moschus moschiferus (Siberian musk deer). Lineage: Eukaryota; Metazoa; Chordata; Mammalia; Artiodactyla; Moschidae. The record is from RNAcentral.